Molecule: long non-coding RNA, 647 nt
Filed under: Capra hircus (goat)
Lineage: Eukaryota; Metazoa; Chordata; Mammalia; Artiodactyla; Bovidae
Description: lncRNA (ENSCHIG00000003805.1)
Source: RNAcentral
CCUGACAUUUCUGAUCUCAUGUUUUCAUCCCACUGAAGAGACUUGGAAGCACCCUGUCUUUUACUGUGAGACACACUUCCUGUUUUAAGGAUUUUACAGUUUGGCAGAGAGAUAAGAGAAGUGAACGGCCAUCAGAAUACAAUACAUUAAAUGUCAAGAACAAGAAAAAUGAACUGCUGUGCAAUGGAAAUUCAGAAGUGAGAGAAUUGUUUUCCUGCCCAUUUCUUUGUGUCCAAAAUCCCAUUUGGAAUUGAAGUAUGUAUUUUGUAUUACUAUGCAGUCAUUUCUUCAUACAAAAAUCUUAAUUUGAUGGGAUUUAACCUCUAUUUUUUGGUCAUUUGGGAUUUCAUGGAGUCUGGAAUGAAGGACACAGUUAAUUUGCAUCUUCAUGCAAUAACUAUUCUUAAAAAAAAAUAAAAAAACCUUGAACAAAAUAAAGUUUAUAUGUUUCUCAUGCAAGAGCCCAGAGGAAGCAUGGUUGUCUAGACGAGGCAGGUUUAUUAGACAGGGUUUCCCCAGGUGUCUUUUCUCCUGUACCUCAUCAUUUCUAAGAGUUUCUGGAUAAUAACUCUUAAGAUGAUAUUAAAGGGAAAAAAGACAGAUUUUUGACUCACUAAAUAUCUAUGAGUGUACUUGAUAUUAAAGGC